CUUCAGUACAAGAGGUGUCAGAAAAGCAUUCAUGUGUAUCGCAGGCUUGUGGCCAAGGUUCAAUAGCGA
RNAcentral lists this ribosomal RNA (69 nucleotides) under Prorocentrum minimum. Its description in RNAcentral is "partial Eukaryotic large subunit ribosomal RNA". Lineage: Eukaryota; Dinophyceae; Prorocentrales; Prorocentraceae. The record is from RNAcentral.